This 496-nucleotide ribosomal RNA is filed under the name uncultured bacterium. RNAcentral describes it as "partial 16S ribosomal RNA". It matches the Rfam family "Bacterial small subunit ribosomal RNA", at positions 30 to 523 of the family's 1533-position model. The record is from RNAcentral.
AUUGAACGCUGGCGGAAUGCUUUACACAUGCAAGUCGAACGGUAGAGGGGGCAACCCCUCGAGAGUGGCGAACGGGUGAGUAAUAUAUCGGAACGUGCCCAGUCGUGGGGGAUAACGUAGCGAAAGUUACGCUAAUACCGCAUACGAUCUAAGGAUGAAAGCGGGGGAUCGCAAGACCUCGCGCGAUUGGAGCGGCAGAUAUCAGAUGAGGUAGUUGGUGGGGUAAAGGCUCACCAAGCCAACGAUCUGUAGCUGGUCUGAGAGGACGACCAGCCACACUGGAACUGAGACACGGUCCAGACUCCUACGGGAGGCAGCAGUGGGGAAUUUUGGACAAUGGACGCAAGUCUGAUCCAGCCAUUCCGCGUGCAGGAUGAAGGCCCUCGGGUUGUAAACUGCUUUUGUACGGAACGAAAAGGUCUCUCUUAAUACGGGGGACUCAUGACGGUACCGUAAGAAUAAGCACCGGCUAACUACGUGACAGCCGCCGCCGUAA